UUAGAGAAGAUGAAGCCAGGGCAAGGAGGAGGCUUGCUAGCGCCCCCCGCCCGACAUUCCUAUGAGGCCCAGCUGCCCAUCUGCUAGUGCUCGUCUCCUCCUCCUCACCCCAACGCACUGUUCAUUUAUCCUUCUGUGAGGGUGUUCAUUUCCCCUGGUUGGUACCUCUCUCCUCUAGCAGGUGGCUCCUCUCAGUCCCAGCUGCAGGAGAGCUCUGUGGACCCUUCUUAUUCGAGGGAGCAAGAAACCGAGGGACUCUUCUAGAAGCCAUGAUCUACCGCAUCUUUCUGCCUCUCACCUUUAGAGCUAAUCCUCCUCCCUCCUCCUGAACUGGGGUGAAGAUCAAGCCCAGAGGAACUCUGCAAGGCUGCAUGAAGAGGUUUCAAGCUGUCAGGUUGUGACACCCAUAAUUUCACCCCAAAGCCAGACACACUCUCCAUGAAAAUCAGGAGCAGGGAACAGGACACCAGCUCCCACUCGGUCAUGAUUAACCUUUUAAAAUUUAGGAUGGAGACCUAUUGUGUAGCACAUGGAACUCUGCUCAACGUUAUGUGCCAGCC
Long non-coding RNA from Bubalus bubalis (water buffalo), 560 nucleotides. RefSeq lists it as uncharacterized. The transcript is spliced from 4 exons. The record is from RefSeq and is a predicted model, not a curated record. NCBI's taxonomy places the organism in Eukaryota, Metazoa, Chordata, Mammalia, Artiodactyla, Bovidae.